This 333-nucleotide ribosomal RNA is filed under the name uncultured bacterium. RNAcentral's name for it is "bacterial SSU rRNA". It matches the Rfam family "Bacterial small subunit ribosomal RNA", at positions 30 to 361 of the family's 1533-position model. The record is from RNAcentral.
AUUGAACGCUGGCGGCGUGCUUAACACAUGCAAGUCGAGCGGCAGCGCGGGAGCAAUCCUGGCGGCGAGCGGCGAACGGGUGAGUAAUGCUUCGGAAUCUGCCCUUCAGUGGGGAAUAACCAGUCGAAAGACUUGGCUAAUACCGCAUACGAACUGAGGUUGAAAGCAGGGGAUCGCAAGACCUUGCGCUGAUGGAUGAGCCGAAGUCGGAUUAGCUUGUUGGUGGGGUAAUGGCCUACCAAGGCGACGAUCCGUAGCUGGUCUGAGAGGACGACCAGCCACACUGGGACUGAGACAACGGCCCAGACUCCUACGGGAGGCAGCAGUGGGGAA